Small nuclear RNA from Rhincodon typus (whale shark), 124 nucleotides. The record is from RefSeq and is a predicted model, not a curated record. NCBI's taxonomy places the organism in Eukaryota, Metazoa, Chordata, Chondrichthyes, Orectolobiformes, Rhincodontidae.
GUGUUGUAUGAAAGGAGAGAAUGUUAGCACUCUCCGUGAUAAGGAUGGAAUGGGUUCUAGUGACCUUACAACACACAAAUGGUUAAGGCAUUGCAUUCUACUCAGUGGCAUCUAACCAUAUUUU